This 443-nucleotide ribosomal RNA is filed under the name uncultured soil bacterium. Its description in RNAcentral is "bacterial SSU rRNA". It matches the Rfam family "Bacterial small subunit ribosomal RNA", at positions 26 to 518 of the family's 1533-position model. The record is from RNAcentral.
AGAACGAACGCUGGCGGCAUGCCUAAUACAUGCAAGUCGAACGAACACUUCGGUGUUAGUGGCGCACGGGUGCGUAACGCGUGGGAAUCUGCCCUUGGGUUCGGAAUAACAGUUGGAAACGACUGCUAAUACCGGAUGAUGACGAAAGUCCAAAGAUUUAUCGCCCAGGGAUGAGCCCGCGUAGGAUUAGCUAGUUGGUGAGGUAAAGGCUCACCAAGGCGACGAUCCUUAGCUGGUCUGGGAGGAUGAUCAGCCACACUGGGACUGAGACACGGCCCAGACUCCUACGGGAGGCAGCAGUAGGGAAUAUGGGCAAUGGGCGCAAGCCUGAUCCAGCAAUGCCGCGUGAGUGAUGAAGGCCUUAGGUUGUAAAGCUCUUUUACCCGAGAUGAUAAUGACAGUAUCGGAGAAUAAGCCCCGGCUAACUCCGUGCCAGCAGCCGC